GAGGGCUCAAGCGUUGUUCGGAUUCAUUGGGCGUAAAGGGUGUGUAGGUGGCGCGCUAAGUCGGGUGUGAAAUUUCGGAGCUUAACUCCGAAACUGCAUUCGAUACUGGCGUGCUUGAGGACUGGAGAGGAGACUGGAAUUUACGGUGUAGCAGUGAAAUGCGUAGAUAUCGUAAGGAAGACCAGUGGCGAAGGCGGGUCUCUGGACAGUUCCUGACACUGAGACACGAAGGCCAGGGGAGCAAACGGG
This 249-nucleotide ribosomal RNA is filed under the name uncultured bacterium. Its description in RNAcentral is "partial 16S ribosomal RNA". It matches the Rfam family "Bacterial small subunit ribosomal RNA", at positions 528 to 776 of the family's 1533-position model. The record is from RNAcentral.